CCUACGGGAGGCAGCAGUGGGGAAUAUUGCACAAUGGGCGAAAGCCUGAUGCAGCAACGCCGCGUGAGCGAUGAAGGCCUUCGGGUCGUAAAGCUCUGUCCUCAAGGAAGAUAAUGACGGUACUUGAGGAGGAAGCCCCGGCUAACUACGUGCCAGCAGCCGCGGUAAUACGUAGGGGGCUAGCGUUAUCCGGAAUUACUGGGCGUAAAGGGUGCGUAGGUGGUCCUGCAAGUCUGGAGUGAAACGCAUGAGCUCAACUCAUGCAUGGCUUUGGAAACUGGAGGACUGGAGAGCAGGAGAGGGCGGUGGAACUCCAUGUGUAGCGGUAAAAUGCGUAGAUAUAUGGAAGAACACCAGUGGCGAAGGCGGCCGCCUGGCCUGUUGCUGACGCUGAGGCACGAAAGCGUGGGGAGCAAAUAGGAUUAGAUACCCGGGUAGUC
This 440-nucleotide ribosomal RNA is filed under the name uncultured bacterium. Its description in RNAcentral is "partial 16S ribosomal RNA". It matches the Rfam family "Bacterial small subunit ribosomal RNA", at positions 338 to 795 of the family's 1533-position model. The record is from RNAcentral.